UGCAAGGUGGAGAAGCGGAGUAACUCAUCAGGCUCAUGCCCUGAAGAACGUAGGUUCAAAUCCUGCCCUUGCUA
This 74-nucleotide transfer RNA is filed under the name Silene conica. RNAcentral's name for it is "tRNA-Met". It matches the Rfam family "tRNA". From Rfam's summary of the family: Transfer RNA (tRNA) molecules are approximately 80 nucleotides in length. Their secondary structure includes four short double-helical elements and three loops (D, anti-codon, and T loops). Further hydrogen bonds mediate the characteristic L-shaped molecular structure. tRNAs have two regions of fundamental functional importance: the anti-codon, which is responsible for specific mRNA codon recognition, and the 3' end, to which the tRNAs corresponding amino acid is attached (by aminoacyl-tRNA synthetases). tRNAs cope with the degeneracy of the genetic code in two manners: having more than one tRNA (with a specific anti-codon) for a particular amino acid; and 'wobble' base-pairing, i.e. permitting non-standard base-pairing at the 3rd anti-codon position. The record is from RNAcentral. Lineage: Eukaryota; Viridiplantae; Streptophyta; Magnoliopsida; Caryophyllales; Caryophyllaceae.